RNAcentral lists this ribosomal RNA (478 nucleotides) under uncultured bacterium. Its description in RNAcentral is "partial 16S ribosomal RNA". It matches the Rfam family "Bacterial small subunit ribosomal RNA", at positions 28 to 523 of the family's 1533-position model. The record is from RNAcentral.
GACGAACGCUGGCGGCGUGCUUAACACAUGCAAGUCGAACGGUAAGGCCCUUCGGGGUACACGAGUGGCGAACGGGUGAGUAACACGUGGGUGAUCUGCCCUGCUCUUCGGGAUAAGCCUGGGAAACUGGGUCUAAUGCCGGAUAGGACCCUGGGAUGCAUGUCCUGGGGUGGAAAGCUUUUGCGGUGUGGGAUGGGCCCGCGGCCUAUCAGCUUGUUGGUGGGGUGAUGGCCUACCAAGGCGACGACGGGUAGCCGGCCUGAGAGGGUGACCGGCCACACUGGGACUGAGAUACGGCCCAGACUCCUACGGGAGGCAGCAGUGGGGAAUAUUGCACAAUGGGCGCAAGCCUGAUGCAGCGACGCCGCGUGAGGGAUGACGGCCUUCGGGUUGUAAACCUCUUUCAGCACAGACGAAGCGCAAGUGACGGUAGGUGCAGAAGAAGGACCGGCCAACUACGUGCCAGCCGCCGCCGUAA